Phasianus colchicus (ring-necked pheasant) is the source of this 3340-nucleotide long non-coding RNA. RefSeq lists it as uncharacterized. Lineage: Eukaryota; Metazoa; Chordata; Aves; Galliformes; Phasianidae. The record is from RefSeq and is a predicted model, not a curated record.
AGAGCUGACCGACACCUGCACCUCUCUCAUCUGCACACCUGGGUGCUGGCAUUCCCUGCACCAUCAGGCAGAGUGGGGAAAGCUGUGUGAAUUACUGAGUCCAUUAGCAGCCCUCCUUUGCUGCAUGGCUGUGAGCUUUCGAUGAGAGAACCCCAAAGAGGCUCUGGAAGUCACACGAGAGGGAAGAUGAACCAGAUGGCUUCUCUGCAAAAUUAAGAUUGGAUUUUAGGGCUUCAUAUGAUUUACAAGCAGUUGUUUCCUGCUGGCAGCAGAUUGUGUGCUUGCAAGGAGGACAUUUGAAAAAAGCCAGAAGUGGAGUGACACCAACUGGCACAGCUACCCAGCUCUAUGUGAGGACAACAAAGUGGUGCUUAAACAGAAGUGUGCUUUCACAUAGUGCAAUUAGAGAUGUUCUCCCUUAUGAUAUCAAGCAAAGAAGUGUCAAUAAUUGUCUCCCGGAGGCAUUUUUCUACCCUGCUUCUACAGAGACCCUAUCAAACAAAAGACAACUACCAAUUGUUUUGUAUUCCUUUGGACUCAACUCACUAUACAGGAGAUGUAUGAUGACUCAGACAGCUUGGAUGCACUGCCCCUAAAUCAGCAAUGAGAACCAAUUGUUCUUUGCUAACAUAGAAGCAGACUACUCACCAGUUGGUUGUCCGAUAGAACUUUGGCUCCUGAUGGGGAAUGGUCUCAGUCUUGUGCUGAACUAAAUCCCAAGAGAUUUGGACACAUAACAAGUACAAGGAUGGAGCAGAACUGCUGAAUACUGAUGCUGUACAGUUAAUGAGUCUGUAAGCAAAUUAAGCCAUUUUGGCCUCCUGAUAAACAUACACUAUUGGGUUGAACAAGCAAUAGGCACGUACCAAAAGCCACCUUUUUCAUGGUGACAAUGCUGAAAGUCAUUUCCUGGUGCUUUUUGAGCAGAAAGGCUGCUAUGCUAGUAGAUACCUUCUCCAUAACAUCUUUAUUCCUAAGGGAAAGAUAGAUUUGGAAAAAGAAAACGUUUUAGCUGUUACUCAAGUUUUGACCAAAGGCUCUGCACCAGCCAUUAAAAACUUUACAGGAAAACACUGUAAGCAUAAUUGUUGGCUUUUUGAGCAAGAGUAAAAGUUUAAAACUCAUGGCACAGCGCGAGUAAAAACAAACCAAGAGCAGUCCUGCUGUCAAGUGUCCAGAGUAUGCAGGAGACCAGCGAGAGCCCAUGGCCAAGGCGUUGCAUUGCUGGCAGAUCUCUCGUGCUGGGUCUGUAAAUUCUUGUCCAAAGCCCAGAACAAUCGAGGCGCUCCUAUUGAGUUCCUUGACCUUGGGAUUAGGCAGGAUGUAAAACAGGAGGACACGGACAGCAAUAACAUGUUUUGGAAAAGUUAUGCAAAUGAUGUUAAAGUACACAGUUUAAAAUAUUAGCUCUGGCAGAAGACGACUGCUGAAGUUUCAGUCAAGGGGAACAAAUACUCAAUAAAUUAAAAACUCAAGAUUUGGCUUUGAAACAAUUGCUUUGUAAGCAAAUGUUCCCUUUUGUGGUCUGCAUGAAAUGUACUCGGGGAAGUGAUCUGGGGGCAGAUACUGCCAUCAUCAAAUCCACCUGAAGAAAUAGCUUGAACUUGCACUUCUGUUGCCAUCCAGGAGCUUGACAGAGGGCUGACAACUCUCUCUAUCCUUUUCCACAUAACAGAGAUCUUCCUAGAGCAGAGCUGUGACCCAUUUGUGGCUGCAGGAGAAAAACUGCAUCACUGCUGCCAGGUCAGAGCCCCUUGGUGCCAGCCCAGCAGCUACUGUGAGCAGGGGUUGGCUUACAUUGUACAACAGAAGCCCAGUCCACGGUGGGAUAUGUAUAUUUUUUAAACUAAUACUGUAAAUAUGCAUAUCUUCAAUGUUUUCAAAACAAAGUCUAGAUCACAUAACACUGUAUUCUGUGAUGAUUUCAAUUAUCUGGUAAAUCUGCUGUGCUUUUAUCCACAAUGGAUUCCUCUCCCUGAAAGGAGAAAAGAGGUCAGAAGCAGCAAGAAGGAGCUGGCAAAAAAAAAAAAAGUCAGUUAUUUGGCAGAACAAGGAAUACUUAGUGGCAAGGACCAUGUUUAUAUAAUGAAAUUAAUAAAAUGGGACCAGUCAGAUGUGUAUUGCUGCUGAGAAGGAGAGUGGCAACUGGAGUUGCUCUGGAUGCUGCUGUUGUUGCUCCCUUGGCUGUCGCAGCCAAACACCUCAUGUUGUGUUCAUCUUCUGAAUGCUGAUAUAUGUACAUAAAUCCCCAUCUUACAAAGGGAGGAGCAAGACAACAGGGUUUUAAAUGAAUUGCUUUAGUCUGAGGGUGGCAUGAGCAUCUGGAUGGGGAACAAAUCUGCUGGCUCUGGCUGUCCUUCCCAUCCCUUCAGUACAGGUUCUCCCUGUACAGGCUGAAGCACAAAUCCCCACUGCAUUUUCAAGAACGCAGGAAUUGGAUAUGGCAUUGGUCAUUUCUUGCCAAGAGCUGAGGAAGAGGCAGAGCUCCUCUGUGGCUCAGAUGCAGCAAAGCCCCAAGUUCCCUCAUUGCUGCCCUGUGCAGCAAUCAGCUCAAUACUGAGUGCAUCGAGCCAGCUGCGUGCAUUUCACAUCAAUGGUCACAGUCCAUCCAUCCUACUCUGUCAGAGCUGCUUCUUCCUCUUUGUGUGCUUAAUCCCUCAUAGGUAAUGUGGUGGAUAUUACAAAAGUUAUGCAUCAAGAAAGAAUCAUAACUGGAAAACUUUGCAAAUUCAGACUUCCCAAAGAUUGUAAAAUCUCAGAACUCAGAAGCCCUGGCUCACUUUUCACAUUUGGCUGCAAUGUUUCCCUGAUUAAAGGCCAAGCACAGCCACAGACGUAUUGCCCAGGUGGGACCUGGGUUCUACCUACAAACUCCAGAGCCUGGAAUCACACUGCCCAAGAAGGAGGUGAGUCCCCAGUGCUGCUUCUGUUCUGGGAGCCAUCCAUGAAACACUUUUGGCCUGUGCCACUGGUAUAAUCCAUUGGGGUCAGAGACCUGCCUGUGGGCAAUGUGCACGCAGCCUUUGUUUUACAGGUUGAGAACUAAUGGUUAUGGCCAUGAGUUAUCAGAUGCCAGCUGGCCACUAUCUGAAGGACAGUCCCAAGCAUAUUUAAUUUAUUAGCAGAGAGAAACCCUAAUUGAAUUGACAGUCUGCUUAUUGGGAACUGGGGAUUCUUUCAAGAUCUGAUCAUUUAAUGACAGUGAAUCUCUGCCUCAGUGAAAACUUCUGGAUUUGACCCAAAGUAAAUUAGUCAAAAAGCAUAGCAAAAAAUGUGCCCAACAAACCUCCUACAGAUUCUGAGCUGCGUAUGAAGGGCUAUGGAGGCAGCCUCUGUAUUG